RNAcentral lists this unclassified non-coding RNA (251 nucleotides) under Bombus terrestris (buff-tailed bumblebee). Its description in RNAcentral is "misc RNA ENSBTSG00005025879.1". Lineage: Eukaryota; Metazoa; Arthropoda; Insecta; Hymenoptera; Apidae. The record is from RNAcentral.
CUUUGCAGUAGUUGGAGAGCUGCUCCUCCGGCAUUGCAAAAGGAGCUACGAGAGCGGCGCGACCGCAGCAACGCCGGUUAUUAUAAAACAAAAGACGAUGCUUGAUGCCGAUAAUAAAGAAGAGAGAUCGAGGAAUGGACGGCCCGGGGGAGGCACGGUGUUCGCCGCGUGCUACGAUUUGACGUCGAGACAACACGUUUCUCCAUUUUGCUAUGUUUGGGAGGAACGGACGUGAACAGAGCGGAGCCUGA